GUCCAACAGAAAUGGGUUAGUAUAUUACACGAGUAUUUCUAAUCCCUUUUUUUUAUUUUAGAAAAAAAUAAAAUUACGCAGAAAAAAGGAUCACAAAAGUAUUAUUAAAAUAUAGUCAGAUAGAUAAAUAGUUAGAUCAGAAAAAUAGAUAUCUUUUUUUUCCUUUUAGACCGCCGAACGCACCACGACGUCCGCCCCGUCUUGUGAUGGAGAUCAUAAGCGUAGAAGAUUCGGAUAGUUUGGUGCAACUUCUGAACGAUAGCACCUUUGAGGAGGAACAGUAAGCAAAUCUCUCUCUCUCUCUC
Long non-coding RNA from Saccostrea cuccullata (small rock oyster), 305 nucleotides. RefSeq lists it as uncharacterized. The transcript has 3 exons. The record is from RefSeq and is a predicted model, not a curated record. NCBI's taxonomy places the organism in Eukaryota, Metazoa, Mollusca, Bivalvia, Ostreida, Ostreidae.